This 102-nucleotide microRNA precursor is filed under the name Mustela putorius furo (domestic ferret). Its description in RNAcentral is "miRNA (ENSMPUG00000021127.1)". Lineage: Eukaryota; Metazoa; Chordata; Mammalia; Carnivora; Mustelidae. The record is from RNAcentral.
AAAUGCAGAUUCCUGGGCGACACCUGCCAGAGAACCAAUUCCAGGCUAGAGCCCAGGAAUCUGCAUUUUUAAAACGUGCCAUUGGUGAUCCGUGGGUCAUUG